GACGGACGCUGGCGGCGUGCUUAACACAUGCAAGUCGAACGGAAAGGCCCUGCUUUUGUGGGGUGCUCGAGUGGCGAACGGGUGAGUAACACGUGAGUAACCUGCCCUUGACUUUGGGAUAACUUCAGGAAGCUGGGGCUAAUACCGGAUAGGAGCUCCUGCUGCAUGGUGGGGGUUGGAAAGUUUCGGCGGUUGGGGAUGGACUCGCGGCUUAUCAGCUCGUUGGUGGGGUAGUGGCUUACCAAGGCUUUGACGGGUAGCCGGCCUGAGAGGGUGACCGGCCACAUUGGGACUGAGAUACGGCCCAGACUCCUACGGGAGGCAGCAGUGGGGAAUAUUGCACAAUGGGCGGAAGCCUGAUGCAGCAACGCCGCGUGCGGGAUGACGGCCUUCGGGUUGUAAACCGCUUUCGCCUGUGACGAAGCGUGAGUGACGGUAAUGGGUAAAGAAGCACCGGCUAACUACGUG
This 468-nucleotide ribosomal RNA is filed under the name uncultured bacterium. RNAcentral describes it as "partial 16S ribosomal RNA". It matches the Rfam family "Bacterial small subunit ribosomal RNA", at positions 28 to 507 of the family's 1533-position model. The record is from RNAcentral.